Molecule: small RNA, 114 nt
Filed under: Martinezella lusitana
Lineage: Bacteria; Pseudomonadati; Pseudomonadota; Alphaproteobacteria; Hyphomicrobiales; Rhizobiaceae
Description: Rhizobium lusitanum Guanidine-I sequence
Rfam family: Guanidine-I riboswitch aptamer
About the family: This family represents a conserved RNA structure found upstream of the ykkC and yxkD genes in Bacillus subtilis and related genes in other bacteria.
Source: RNAcentral
UGAGUUGGUGGCUAGGGUUCCGGCGCUCCAUUGGGAGCGUGACUGGUCCGAGAGCUGCCACCGGUCGGGAGAGAAAUCCCACCGGAUGCACGGCGGGACAAAAGCCCGGGAGAC